CUACACAUGCAGUCGAGCGGUAACAGAAAGUAGCUUGCUACUUUGCUGACGAGCGGCGGACGGGUGAGUAAUGCUUGGGAACAUGCCUUGAGGUGGGGGACAACAGUUGGAAACGACUGCUAAUACCGCAUAAUGUCUACGGACCAAAGGGGGCUUCGGCUCUCGCCUUUAGAUUGGCCCAAGUGGGAUUAGCUAGUUGGUGAGGUAAUGGCUCACCAAGGCAACGAUCCCUAGCUGGUUUGAGAGGAUGAUCAGCCACACUGGAACUGAGACACGGUCCAGACUCCUACGGGAGGCAGCAGUGGGGAAUAUUGCACAAUGGGCGCAAGCCUGAUGCAGCCAUGCCGCGUGUGUGAAGAAGGCCUUCGGGUUGUAAAGCACUUUCAGUCAGGAGGAAAGGUUAGUAGUUAAUACCUGCUAGCUGUGACGUUACUGACAGAAGAAGCACCGGCUAACUCCGUGCCAGCAGCCGCGGUAAUACGGAGGGUGCGAGCGUUAAUCGGAAUUACUGGGCGUAAAGCGUACGCAGGCGGUUUGUUAAGCGAGAUGUGAAAGCCCCGGGCUCAACCUGGGAACUGCAUUUCGAACUGGCAAACUAGAGUGUGAUAGAGG
Molecule: ribosomal RNA, 612 nt
Filed under: bacterium ocme08sprp775
Lineage: Bacteria
Description: bacterial SSU rRNA
Rfam family: Bacterial small subunit ribosomal RNA
Source: RNAcentral